This 253-nucleotide ribosomal RNA is filed under the name uncultured bacterium. RNAcentral describes it as "partial 16S ribosomal RNA". It matches the Rfam family "Bacterial small subunit ribosomal RNA", at positions 524 to 776 of the family's 1533-position model. The record is from RNAcentral.
GACGAACCGUACGAACGUUAUUCGGAAUCACUGGGCUUAAAGGGUGCGUAGGCGGCGCGACAAGUUGGGUGUGAAAUCCCUCGGCUCAACCGAGGAACUGCGCCCAAAACUGUCGUGCUCGAGGGAGACAGAGGUGAGCGGAACUUAGGGUGGAGCGGUGAAAUGCGUUGAUAUCAUCAGGAAUACCGGAGGCGAAGGCGGCUCACUGGGGGUUAUCUGACGCUGAGGAACGAAAGCCAGGGGAGCGAACGGG